GGGAAAGAAGAAACGUUGUGUGGCACAGAGCCACAGCCCGAUCACGCCCACACACACAAUGCAGGCUGAGGGUGUUAGCUGCUUUCCUGUGGCUCUCAGCAUUGCAAUGACAGAUGAGGAGGAGGGGAGUGUUUUUUCAAGGUAUAAAAGGGGGUUACAAUGUUUGAUCUGUCCUUUUUAUCCUGCGGAGCCCUCCGCUUAAGGAUUUGGUUACAGGAAUAGGUUACUGUUUUUUCAAAUGUCUAUAGUACAAGAUAACUUUGACAAGACUAUAAUACAUGGUAAGAGCAUUUGUUAAACAUCAAUGCUGUACCAGGGGGAUGUAUCACUGUCGCCUGCGUCACUCACAUCAAUUUGUGCAUCCUUCCUUGUGUUGCAGGACUGGUGACCCUCUGUCAGGUCACUAUGGAGUUCCCACUCUGUCUGCUUGCUGUGUAUUUUCUUUGAAGAGGAGGAGAGGAGGAGGAGGAAAGGAGAUGAAAAGCCUGCUCCCAAGGGCAGGUCACUGGGUCCCUGGCCAUGUCCUGGUAGGGGGUGUUGGGAGUCUGUCCCCUAGCAGGUUCUGACCCUCAGCAUGACCUCGCAGGACCCAGUCAGUCGGGCCUGGUGAGCAGAGCCAGGAGCUGCAGAUCAGCUGAUCCGCAGCGACCUUGACGCACCGACGAACCCAAGCACCAGACACCUGAAGACACCUGAGACGACUAGAUGAAGCUCAUCCGAAGCACAAAGCUUAUAUUACUUACCUGAAUACUUAAACGAAAUGUACCCUAGAAUGCCGCCAGAUGAAGAACCAUUCUUUUCUUUUUUUGGUUGGCUUCUGGUUGUCUGCGUUGCUUGGUUUCGGCGGGUCAUGGGGGGCCUGCUGAAGAAAACGCAUUCCCAAAUACACUACAAUGCUGAACGCAUAAUUUCCAUGAAAAUUUAAAAUUUUAAAUAAAAAUUUAAAAAAACAUUGCAACAUGAACAACCUUAUCUGUGCCGUUUGUUCUGUAGUUGUCAUUUUGGGUAUUUAUACACUGAUAUUGAUGCCACAUUGCAGAGAACAGCUGUUUUAACAUCGCAAAUAAUACUUACAGUUGGUAGUGUAGUGCA
Molecule: long non-coding RNA, 1092 nt
Organism: Oncorhynchus tshawytscha (Chinook salmon)
Lineage: Eukaryota; Metazoa; Chordata; Actinopteri; Salmoniformes; Salmonidae
Source: Ensembl